UACUCCCCAGGCGGGGUACUUAAAGCGUUAGCUACGGCACGGAACCCGUGGAAUGGACCCCACACCUAGUACCCACCGUUUACAGCGUGGACUACCAGGGUAUCUAAGCCUGUUCGCUCCCCACGCUUUCGCUCCUCAGCGUCAGGAAAGGCCCAGAGAACCGCCUUCGCCACUGGUGUUCCUCCUGAUAUCUGCGCAUUCCACCGCUCCACCAGGAAUUCCAUUCUCCCCUACCUUCCUCAAGUCAACCCGUAUCGAAAGCACGCUCAGGGUUAAGCCCCAAGAUUACACUUCCGACGCGAUCAACCACCUACGAGCCCUUUACGCCCAAUAAAUCCGGACAACGCUCGCACCCUACGUAUCACCGCGGCUGCUGGCACGUAGUUAGCCGGUGCUUCUUUACCCAUUACCGUCACUCACGCUUCGUCACAGGCGAAAGCGGUUUACAACCCGAAGGCCGUCAUCCCGCACGCGGCGUUGCUGCAUCAGGCUUCCGCCCAUUGUGCAAUAUUCCCCACUGCUGCCUCCCGUAGGAGUCUGGGCCGUAUCUCAGUCCCAAUGUGGCCGGUCACCCUCUCAGGCCGGCUACCCGUCAAAGCCUUGGUAAGCCACUACCCCACCAACAAGCUGAUAAGCCGCGAGUCCAUCCCC
This 651-nucleotide ribosomal RNA is filed under the name uncultured Propionibacterium sp. RNAcentral's name for it is "partial 16S ribosomal RNA". Lineage: Bacteria; Bacillati; Actinomycetota; Actinomycetes; Propionibacteriales; Propionibacteriaceae. The record is from RNAcentral.